Molecule: transfer RNA, 75 nt
Filed under: Candidatus Woesearchaeota archaeon
Lineage: Archaea; Nanobdellati; Candidatus Woesearchaeota
Description: tRNA-Arg
Rfam family: tRNA
About the family: Transfer RNA (tRNA) molecules are approximately 80 nucleotides in length.
Source: RNAcentral
GGGCUCGUGGCCUAGUCUGGAUAGGGCGACAGGCUUCUAACCUGUAGGUCGGGGGUUCGAAUCCCCUCGGGCCCG